CCGUGGCUUGGUGCAUGGCGUUGGCUCUCUUUGCAGAGGGUUCUGCGUGGUUGCUCCCGGAAGCCCACUAGGAUCUCCCGGGUAAGUGGAUGCCUGUUCCUCCCUGCUACAGGUGGAAUUGUGCCCCCGUCUUGAAGCCCCCAGUACCUCAAAAUGUGACUAUACUUGGAGAUAGAACCUUUUAAAAGGUCAUGGAAGUAAAAUGAGGUCAUUUGGAUGGGCCCCAGUCCAACAGGACUCAUGUCCUUUAAGAAGAGAUUAGGGCACAGAUACACACAGCAGAAAGACCACGUGAGGACACAGCCACAGUACAGCCACCUCCUAGCCAAAGGACGACCUCAGAAUACACCAGCCCUGCCGACACCUCAAUCCUGGACUUUCAGCCUCCACGACUAUGAGAAGGGUUUCACUGUCGCACAGACUGGAGUGAGUGGCACGAUCUUGGCUCACUGCAACCUCUGCCACCUGGGCUCAAGCCAUCCUCCCACCUCAGCCUCCCGAGUACCUAGGACUACAGGUGCAUAGCACCGCACCUGGCUAAUUUUUCUGUAUUGUUAGCAGAGACGGUGUUUCG
RNAcentral lists this long non-coding RNA (574 nucleotides) under Homo sapiens (human). RNAcentral's name for it is "HSALNT0300440". Lineage: Eukaryota; Metazoa; Chordata; Mammalia; Primates; Hominidae. The record is from RNAcentral.